RNAcentral lists this long non-coding RNA (1400 nucleotides) under Salvia miltiorrhiza (redroot sage). RNAcentral's name for it is "long non-coding RNA (SMIL_LNC004857)". Lineage: Eukaryota; Viridiplantae; Streptophyta; Magnoliopsida; Lamiales; Lamiaceae. The record is from RNAcentral.
GGUGUAUUUAGGGGCAAUUAACCCUAAAAAGAAAGAGAAAUAAAAGCCUUUGAAAGCACAAGAACGCAAACUAGGGACUCAAGACUCAAAAAGGAGCUCGUCAAAUAUCAGAAAAAAUGCGACCUAGCAAAACAUGCAGGACAACCUAAAAGCUGCAGCACGCUGAUUACCCAGUCGGACAAACACCUAACAAUAAGGAAAACUCAUGUUGGUGUGGAAGUCGUCCAACUCCAUUUCAUCCGACCAACUGCCAUUCGCGAUAUUAUUCAUAGCACGCAUGCUAGCAUUACUAUUGUUAUGAUCAACAACAAAGUCCAUAGAAGUUCAAGGCGUUCUUCGUGGAAGCAGCCCAAAGCUCAAGUCAAGCUCAACAUUCGAUCCAGAAAUAAGGCGAAGACCCUCUGCAUCAACGUUAUAAAGCCCAAAGCUCAAGAUUUAAGACGUUCUUCGUGGAAGCAACCCAAAGCUCAAGUCAAGCUCAACGUUCGAUCCAAAAAUAAGGCGAAGGCCCUCUGCAUCAGUGUUAUAAAGCACAAAACUCAAGAUUCAAGGCGUUCUUCAUGGAAGCAGCCCAAAACUCAAAUCAAGCCCAACGUUCGAUCCACAAAUAAGACGUAGGCCCUCUGCAUCAAUGUUACAAAGCCCAAAGCCUCAAGUCAAACCAAUGUAUAUUUCGGGGAAAGAGACUCACCAUAUGAUAUAAAUGAUAAUACUUAGAAGAGAAAAUACUUAAUAAAAAUGGUUGAGUAUAUUGUAAGUGAUGAAAUGUCUUAAAAUGUAGUGUUAAUAAUGAUAAUUAAUUGUAUUAUAAGUGGGGAAGGAGACUCACCAUAUGAUAUAAAUGAUAAAUAAGUCAAUGUAUUAAAGAUAAUAAACUGUAGGCUGCGAUGCACAGAUUCGCGCAAAAACAAUACCGUGCAGUAUCCGAUUCGUGCAGGGGACGGGUGCGGGCGCGAUUCGCGUGGGAUUAGCCACCUGGCGAAUCCCCCCAAAAAUUAAAAAAAAUAUCGGAUUCGCGAAUCGGGAUUCUCACUCUCGACGGACGGCUGUUGGCUGACAGGAGGCGAGGCGGCAUGAUCCGAGACGGUUGAGCAGGGCGGCGGGGCCGAAGGGCAGGCGCCGCUGAUGCAGCCGAGAAAGGAGCAGUAGCAACGGCGGCCCUUCUUGGCCGUCUGCUGUCAAAAACACGUGGGAGAGAGAGAGAGAGAGAGGACAGAUAAGAGGCAGUGGCAAAGGUGGAGGGGCCGUGAGGGGGUGCGACUGCUGGGGAUUCACGCCGGAAGGAGGACAGCGGCGUGGUCAGUUCCGAGAGAGAGAAAAUGAAGGAGCCGAUAGAGAGAUAAGAGAUAGAGAGGGCGGCGGGUUGUGAGGAAGGAGAGAGAAUAGGGUUGUGAAGAAAA